Molecule: ribosomal RNA, 270 nt
Filed under: uncultured prokaryote
Description: partial 16S ribosomal RNA
Rfam family: Bacterial small subunit ribosomal RNA
Source: RNAcentral
UACGUAGGUGGCGAGCGUUGUCCGGAAUUAUUGGGCGUAAAGGGUUCGCAGGCGGUUGUACAUGUCAGGUGUAAAAGGCUAUGGCUUAACCAUGGUUAGCACUUGAAACUGUACAACUUGAGUGCAGGAGAGGUAAGUGGAAUUCCUAGUGUAGCGGUGAAAUGCGUAGAUAUUAGGAGGAACACCAGUGGCGAAGGCGGCUUACUGGACUGUAACUGACGCUGAGACACGAAAGCGUGGGUAGCAAACAGGAUUAGAUACCCUGGUAGU